AUAAAUAAAUUUAUAUUUAAAAAAAGGAAUGAUGAUCUAUGCAACUCUAUCAGUGUUAUUUAUUUUUGACCUGGAAAUGAUAACUUGUGAUGAUUAGACGGGGAGAGGGAAUUAAAAUAGCCUGUGAUCUGAAGAAUGUCUGUUCUAAAACCCCAACUGCCAUCGUGCAAGGCUGCCGGCCUUAAACCUCCUUAUAGAAAAGAACCAGACUGCUCUUUCCCCAUUCCUCCUGGGUUCCUCAAAUCCAUCCCUUCCAUUCCCUAAAGAGGGGCCCCUUUCCAAAGAGUCUAAUAGUGUUCCUUGUUCCUUUACAGAGCAUCCUCCGUUGCGUGGGCAACCUUCUCCGAAUCGCGUUUCCUCUGGGGCUGGACCAGCACUGUGGCAAAGCUCAUCUAGGACCAUGAGGUCAAGACCAGCUCACUGCAUGGGCGUGCACAAAGGUCCCAUGUAUCUUUCUGAAGAUAUUUCUAUGUUAAAUGUACUGAUUUAACACCAAGCAUCAAAUCUGGACCUGACACAGGAAUUCAAGUCACUGGGCUCCUGCAUCUUCCUACUGACAAAGCAUAUCUUAAGCUGCUAGGAACGUAACUGUGAUCCUACCAUACAACUUCCGGCGAGGGAAACGCCUUCACUUUCACAGAGAGCCGAUAAG
Non-coding RNA from Kogia breviceps (pygmy sperm whale), 652 nucleotides. The record is from RefSeq and is a predicted model, not a curated record. NCBI's taxonomy places the organism in Eukaryota, Metazoa, Chordata, Mammalia, Artiodactyla, Physeteridae.